GUCUCUGACUGACUGGGAGGUAAAGGUUGUCUCUGACUGACUGGGAGGUAAAGGUUGUCUCUGACUGACUGGGAGGUAAAGGUUGUCUCUGACUGACUGGGAGGUAAAGGUUGUCUCUCUGAC
This is a long non-coding RNA of Oncorhynchus tshawytscha (Chinook salmon), 123 nucleotides long. RefSeq lists it as uncharacterized. Lineage: Eukaryota; Metazoa; Chordata; Actinopteri; Salmoniformes; Salmonidae. The transcript has 3 exons. The record is from RefSeq and is a predicted model, not a curated record.